AGUCGCCACACCUCCCUACAGUCCGUGGCCACACCUCAGUACAGGCGGUGGUGGAGCAGCCAGGUGUACUCUCCCAGCCGCGAACUGACGUGAUGGCGAGUUUUGGCGACAUGAUGGCGGGUAGAGGAGUUUCAUGGCCAGUGAUGCUCUUCUUGGUAACCUCCCUCUUGGCAUCACCAGCACAGUCCAUCAAGGCAGCAGCCAUAGAGGAUCACCGGGGUGGGUCGUGUCACCAGGUACAAGACUCCAACGCCUGGCCUCACCCUCACAAUGCCACUCUCUGCGCUCUAGUGCGACCUGAGCUCCAACAACCAAAACAACCAGCCACCGUCCUUCAGUACCACAACCUCGGGGCCUAUAUCAUUGCUGGCUUUAGUUACAUGAGGUUGUGGGUAGCGGCUGACGGAUUCAGGACCUCAUUCAACGCUUCCUUCAUCCCGGAGUUCUGGAACCCCUUGUGUUUUGGUGCUACGCCUAACCAAA
Molecule: long non-coding RNA, 483 nt
Organism: Homarus americanus (American lobster)
Lineage: Eukaryota; Metazoa; Arthropoda; Malacostraca; Decapoda; Nephropidae
Exons: 4
Source: RefSeq, a predicted model, not a curated record